RNAcentral lists this ribosomal RNA (498 nucleotides) under uncultured bacterium. RNAcentral's name for it is "partial 16S ribosomal RNA". It matches the Rfam family "Bacterial small subunit ribosomal RNA", at positions 30 to 523 of the family's 1533-position model. The record is from RNAcentral.
AUUGAACGCUGGCGGCAUGCCUUACACAUGCAAGUCGAACGGUAACAGGUCUUCGGAUGCUGACGAGUGGCGAACGGGUGAGUAAUACAUCGGAACGUGCCUAGUAGUGGGGGAUAACUACUCGAAAGAGUGGCUAAUACCGCAUGAGAUCUACGGAUGAAAGCAGGGGAUCGCAAGACCUUGUGCUACUAGAGCGGCCGAUGGCAGAUUAGGUAGUUGGUGGGAUAAAAGCUUACCAAGCCGACGAGCUGUAGCUGGUCUGAGAGGACGAUCAGCCACACUGGGACUGAGACACGGCCCAGACUCCUACGGGAGGCAGCAGUGGGGAAUUUUGGACAAUGGGCGAAAGCCUGAUCCAGCAAUGCCGCGUGCAGGAUGAAGGCCUUCGGGUUGUAAACUGCUUUCGUACGGAACGAAAAGCCCCGGGUUAAUACCCUGGGGUCAUGACGGUACCGUAAGAAUAAGCACCGGCUAAUUACGUGCCAGCAGCCGCCGUAA